This 166-nucleotide ribosomal RNA is filed under the name uncultured bacterium. Its description in RNAcentral is "partial 16S rRNA". It matches the Rfam family "Bacterial small subunit ribosomal RNA", at positions 355 to 511 of the family's 1533-position model. The record is from RNAcentral.
UAGGGAAUCUUCGGCAAUGGGGGCGAACCCUGACCGAGCAACGCCGCGUGAGUGAAGAAGGUUUUCGGAUCGUAAAGCUCUGUUGUAAGAGAAGAACGUGUGUGAGAGUGGAAAGUUCACACAGUGGCGGUAACUUACCAGAAAGGGACGGCUAACUACGUGCCAG